GAGUUUGAUCCUGGCUCAGGAUGAACGCUGGCGGCGUGCCUAACACAUGCAAGUCGAACGGGGUCUUAGUACGGAAGUUUUCGGAUGGAAGGAUUAAGACUUAGUGGCGGACGGGUGAGUAACGCGUGGGUAACCUGCCCUGUACAGGGGGAUAACAGUUGGAAACGGCUGCUAAAACCGCAUAACAUGGAGAUACCGCAUGAUAUUUCCAUCAAAUAUUUAUAGGUACAGGAUGGGCUCGCGUCUGAUUAGCCAGUUGGCAGGGUAAUGGCCUACCAAAGCGACGAUCAGUAGCCGGCUUGAGAGAGUGACCGGCCACAUUGGGACUGAGACACGGCCCAAACUCCUACGGGAGGCAGCAGUGGGGGAUAUUGCACAAUGGGGGAAACCCUGAUGCAGCGACGCCGCGUGAGUGAAGAAGUAUUUCGGUAUGUAAAGCUCUAUCGGCAGGGAAGAAAAUGACGGUACCUGACCAAGAAGCCCCGGCUAACUACGUGCCAGCAGCCGCGGUAAUACGUAGGGGGCAAGCGUUAUCCGGAUUUACUGGGUGUAAAGGGAGCGUAGACGGUGAUGCAAGUCAGAAGUGAAAGCCCGGGGCUCAACUCCGGGACUGCUUUUGAAACUGUGUAACUGGAGUGCAGG
This 642-nucleotide ribosomal RNA is filed under the name uncultured bacterium. RNAcentral describes it as "bacterial SSU rRNA". It matches the Rfam family "Bacterial small subunit ribosomal RNA", at positions 9 to 652 of the family's 1533-position model. The record is from RNAcentral.